Molecule: unclassified non-coding RNA, 29 nt
Filed under: Mus musculus (house mouse)
Lineage: Eukaryota; Metazoa; Chordata; Mammalia; Rodentia; Muridae
Description: oocyte_clustered_small_RNA6332
Source: RNAcentral
UGGCAGGUGAUCAGCAUCCAAGUGCAUGA